This 521-nucleotide long non-coding RNA is filed under the name Chloebia gouldiae (Gouldian finch). Its description in RNAcentral is "Erythrura gouldiae (Gouldian finch) lncRNA (ENSEGOG00005006171.1)". Lineage: Eukaryota; Metazoa; Chordata; Aves; Passeriformes; Passeridae. The record is from RNAcentral.
CCAUCCUCCUCAGCUUUCCAAGUUAUCCAGAUUCCCAGAGUGAAGCCUGAAAGCACAGAGCCACAGGAUGAAUUUGGGAUCUUGCCGCUUGUGCUGCUUUGCGUGUCUCCUUCAAUAAUGCAGUGCAAAAAAAUUGUCAGAUGUGGAAGAAGAAAAGAAGCAACAAUUUCUUGAUAAUAACAUGUUUUGAGAGCAGCGAAGCCUUUGAGAUCCGUACCCCCAUCUCACGUGCUGCUGCCUGCGCUCUGGCUUCACCCAGCUGCUGGAGAUCCUUGGCCCACAGCGUGGACAAUCAAGGAUGACAUAGCUGUAAGAAAGGAUUGGCUCAUGGAUGGAGCUCUCAGUGCUGAUGUUGCCAUCUCCUGAAGUUCAUUGUGGUUUUAAAUGCUCUGAGAGCAAUGGCUUUUCCCUGCAUCUGGAGGUAGUGAUUUUUCUCAUGUAUUUACUGGGGGUUAAGAAUGACCUAGAGGAAGUUACUGUGGGUCCGUUAACCUGGGUAAGUUGCCAAAACCCAGUAAUUA